Molecule: non-coding RNA, 23 nt
Filed under: Cricetulus griseus (Chinese hamster)
Lineage: Eukaryota; Metazoa; Chordata; Mammalia; Rodentia; Cricetidae
Source: RNAcentral
UGCUAACUCUGUGUGGAUACAUA